This 76-nucleotide transfer RNA is filed under the name Acidobacteria bacterium RBG_16_70_10. RNAcentral's name for it is "tRNA-Phe". It matches the Rfam family "tRNA". Rfam says of the family: Transfer RNA (tRNA) molecules are approximately 80 nucleotides in length. Their secondary structure includes four short double-helical elements and three loops (D, anti-codon, and T loops). The record is from RNAcentral. Lineage: Bacteria; Pseudomonadati; Acidobacteriota. RNAcentral also lists the same sequence under 2 other names.
GGCCUGGUAGCUCAGUUGGUAGAGCAGCGGACUGAAAAUCCGCGUGUCGGCGGUUCGAUUCCGUCCCAGGCCACCA